RNAcentral lists this long non-coding RNA (9502 nucleotides) under Setaria italica (foxtail millet). Its description in RNAcentral is "long non-coding RNA (SITA_LNC000940)". Lineage: Eukaryota; Viridiplantae; Streptophyta; Magnoliopsida; Poales; Poaceae. The record is from RNAcentral.
GAUGAUGUCAGCAACAAGAAAUUAGAAAAUAAAUAAUGAAUUGGUAUAAAUCAUUGAAAUUAUUGGAAAAUGGCAUGGAAACUUACUUACAUGAUGCCUAUAAUUAUUUCUUUUGUUGAAUUUAGUUUCAUUCAAUCUACAAUUACUUUAUUAAUUAUUUAUUUUAGCAAUGGUUAGAAUUACUUGUUAAUAUGGAAGAUAAAAAUAUAGGAAACUAUUACAAAAUAUAGGAAAUUGGUAGAAAUCAUUGAGAUUACUGGAAAAUGGCAUGGAAACUUACUUACAUUAUGCCUAUAAUUAUUUCUUUUGUUGAAUUUAGUUUCACUCUAUUUAGAAUUACUUUCUUAAUUAUUUCUUUUAGUAGUAGUUAGAAUUACUUGUUAAUACGGAAGAUAACAAUUUAGAAAACUAUUACAAAAUAUAGGAAAUUGGUAGAAAUCAUUGAGAAAUCAUUUAUUUAGAAUUACUUUGUAAAUACCUUGUUUUUUCUUAUACUAGUUAAAAUGGCGGACAUAGGCGAAGAGGACUUCAUUCAAAAUAUUAUUAAUGAAGGCAGCAACUACAAUGCAGAAGUAGAUAAUGCUUCAGGCGAAGAGGAUGAUGGCAGCCAGUACCUAAAAAUGACUGGUGAUGGCAGUGAUGAUGCUCCAGCUAAACAGAAGGAAGAAAUUGCCGAGGUAUAUGAAUCACUAUAUACAUGUACUGAUUUCAAUUCUUUACCUAUCAACAAUGGUUAUAAUUAAUGCAUAUUUUUUGUAGCCAUCUGCAUCCACGUCAAGGCCUAAACGGAAACGUGGUGGAAAGAAAAAGUUGGAAGGGCGUACCAUCAUCACAGAAGUGGACGAGGAAGGUGCACCAAUUGCUCCCCCCCCCCAGUGUUAACAACAUUUGUCAAUCAAUGUGGGUAUGUUGUUCGGGAAAACUUGCCCAUAAGCAUUAAAAAAUGGAGAGCAACCGCACUUACUGAUGCACCUAAAGACCUCGUCCCUAAGAGAGAGAAGGAAUUGUGUUGGCAACAGUAUCAUGAUACUGCACUUCACAUAUACAGAAGCGAAAGCAAAAUAACUGAAGGAAUUUGCCUUUAGGAAGAUGGCAAUUGCUUUCCAGAUGUACAAGAAAAACUUGCACAAACACUUUAUCAAGAAGGCAUUGAACCAGAUUUGGAGAACAAAUUCCAGAAGCUAGAACUUAUUGGGAAGCAUUCCAGCAAUACAAGUUGUUGGAAGAUGCCAAAAAGGGAGUUGUACAAACUAAAGAUAAUAUGAGCAAAAAAACACUAUCAUCAUCUUGGCCAAGGAGGUUAUAAGAUAGCAAUGUCGAAACGGCAGAGGAUGGAAAAUGACCUAGUGGCAAGAGGAAUCAUGCCGGCAACUCUUGAUUGGCCAUUGUGAGAAAAGAACUUUUUCUACGCUCAUGAUGGCACACUAAAUAGGGAAGAUGGAUUGUUUAUUACUAUCAAUUCAUUAAUAGCAGAAUUCACCAGGUUGCAAGCUACACUAAAGACUAAAUGGCAAGGAAAUUUCAGGCCUGACAGAGAGAAAGAUGAGCUGACUUAUGCACUAGAGAAUCCAGAACACAUUGGAUGUGUCCGAGGCAUGGGUGUAAUUCCAUGGAAGAAAGGCUUCAGUGAAGAUAUUGAGUCUUACAGAAGUCAAAGAAGAAGCAAGGCCACAACAGAAGAGAAGUUGCGUGUCCUAGAAGAACAAGUAGCUUCAACUAAUGAAAGAAUGGAUCAGCUUCAAGAGGUGUUAGCACGUAGCCAAGCAGGACCUGCAUCAGGUGCUAAUUUGGACAUAAUAAGCCCUGCUUCCCAGUGUCAUAGCAGCGUCGCUUCCACGGAGUUCCAACAAGUAGAAGAAUCGUCUGACAUGCUUGCGGGCAACAACGAAUACUACCCCAUGGACGACAUCACUAUGAGGACCCAAUGUGAGCUUCUUACUCCGGUGAGAAAAAUGGUCAAAGUAGUGGCUCACAGUAUUUCUGAAGUACCAGUACCAGGCGAAACAAUUCAUGGCAUGCAGAUUCCUGAAGGAUAUGCUAGAGUCCAGGUUGAUCGAGUGAAAAUAGGAUGGGAAGACCUGGACCUCAAGAUCCUAGGAGGCGAUGGUGAAACGGAACUGAGACACACCAUCCACACCUGGAGAUGAUGAGGACAUCAACACCAACGAUACAUGCACGCCGACACAAGUACCAAUUUCUGGUCCUAUUACUCGCGUCCGUGCUCAUCAAUUUAAUCAUCAAGUAAGUUCACUCUUGAGUUCCUAUCCAUCAUAUUUAGACCAUGGAGACACAUGAACUCUUGGUUUGGUUAGGAAACAGGGAGAAGACCGAAAGGGAAAAGGACUCGCGCAGGCUAGAUUCGGACUCCAGAACAGCACCAACUUGUGAUGGUCAUCACAGUCACAUACGGACUCGGAUUGGAGCGUUCAAGUACUUCACAGAUUUUUUAUGAAGUCUAUUUUCAUAUGGAUCUAGACUCAAAUCCAUAUCUGGUCUAAGGAGGCCGCAAUGACCAAAUUACUACCGAGAGAUUUUCUGGUGCUGCGUCACUUUAAUUUGGCCCAAUGGGUCGUGUAUCAAGUCAGGUCCAAUAGGGACGCAUCCUAGGGUUGGAUCAUGACCCCAACACCCUGGUGGUCAUCCUUCCACCUUCAUAUACCCCUUAGCCGCCACCAAGAACAGUUGGGUUUUGUUUAGAUCAAGUUUAGCUCUCGCUACUUGUUUGUAAGCGUGCGUGCUGGAUCAGCCGCCUCUUGUCUUCGCCACCCCACCUUAUUUGAGAUUGAAUUUGAAACCUUCAUCUUCAUCUAGUAAAUUCAGUACUUGUUAUACUUGUUCUUGCUAGUUCUUCGAUUGCUUGCAGGACGAGUGCCCUAGUGGCUGGGUGACGCGCUCCACAAGAUCACAGCAUCCAUUGGAGGUGGUGUAUCGGUUGCUAAAGCGCAGCUUGGAAGGCAAUAGUCAGGCCGUGAACGUCAUUUUCAUCCACCAAUCGAGUUACCCCACGCCCUCUCAUCGAAAGAUCGGGAACUAACCCUAGCGGAUUCCUAUCAAUUUGUUGGGCCAAGCGCUACAUAAGGUUUCCGCAAGCAGCCACGGUUCCCACAUCAUCCCCUCAGAGCUCAAGGCAUUGAUCACCAACGCCACCAUCCAGGGAUGCACCUGCUCCUCCCCCACCAACUACAAGGGAUCAAAGCAUGAGUCCACCGUUACCUUAGCCUCCACUUCGUAAGAAGAAAAACUCAAAGGCUUGGGUCUUGCCACCUUCGAAGCAGAAGAAGAACUAACCUCCUAAGAAACCAAAGCCUCCACCUCCGAAGCUUCCAUAUGAACGAACUAUGAAGGAAAGUCAUGCGAUAUCUAUGACUGAGGUUACUGCUCACUUCGGGCCAAAAGAAGAAGCUCGAGGAACCACCAAUUGAUGAAGCAAUGAAGAAAUACUUUAAAUCCCUAGUGGUUAAAAAAGUUGUGAAAGAAUCCAUCUCGGACUAUGAUUGCUCAAUCACAAAGGCAUUUGAGAAGAAAAAAAGAUCACAGUCCACCAUUCCCCAUCUCGAAGAACAAUCUCAACAAUCGAUCGAUCCACUCAAAGUUCUUUCAAAAAAAGUUGAGAUUCUAGCUCAAUGGAUUGCUGAGACCAAUCUCACAAAAGAGCAACUCCUAGGGAGGACAGUAUCGAAACUCACCUAGUUGUUGGUAAAUGGGAGUUUAAAUUGGGGGAACCUCUUGUGUGGCCACAGUUGGUGCCUCACCUACCAAUGAAAAUGUACGCAUUUCAUAAAUGGUACAUGGAGGCCACUGCAGAUGGAUGGAUCAUGUUUGCUGCCCGGGUUCAAGAUCGUGAUUACUUUUGAGGGUUAGAUGACAUAUGGAUUGAGUUUGAAAGUCUAUGGUACUUGUACCAUCAAGACCCUGUUGAAAAGUCCCUCAUUACUAUAUGGGCUCUGUAAGUGUUUACUCUGAUAUCUACAUUCUAGCUCCUACAUUAAUUGUGUGUUGUCCCCUCCCCUCUUUUAUUUUAUAUCACACAGAACAGAGAUUCAACAUUACCAGAGAAAACAAUACUAUCAUGUCGGCUUCAUGGACCUGCAGGUUAUAAACAAGGAAUGCUUAAUGAAAUGGCCAAAUCGGACCAUGAAGACUAUUUUCAACUUCCUGGAUAAACAGCAUCACAUGCAGUACAUACUUUUGCCGUACAACUUUAAGUGUGUUAUUCAUCCCUUUUUUCAUCAUCCGUUCAAGUUAAUAAUAAGUAUAUCUAACAUUGUGUGUGUGUGUGUGAAUAGCUUCCACUGGAUACUGCUUGUUAUUGAGAUUGAUCAAAGCCACGUCAUAGUGCUGGACCGGAAAAGGAAACCAAAAGCAGAGUACCAAAGCCUCGUAAACGCGCCUAACAGGGUAUGGGCUCACUUCAUAAAACUUCACCCAGACCGUUCAAGGAACAACUUCAUAUCAGGGGUACCUUUCCAGUGAUUUCAAUUUGGACAUCUAGUACAUGUCAUUUCUUUAAAACCACGACUGCUUGAAUAUUUCAUAACUCCUUUUUCCAUAUUUAGUGUUUGAGGCAGAAGGAUGGAAACAACUUAUGCGCAUACUAUUGUUGUGAGUUCAUCCACGGCAUUAUAGGUCCCAAGCAAGGUAAGGACCAUCAACACCAAGUGCGUAAACAUAAUUCAUAUCAAUUUCAAUAUUUUCAAUCUACACAUAUAUUUGUUUAAAAUGAUGAUGUUAAUUUGCACAUGAUAGAUUACUGAAAUGAGAGAAGAUUCCAUCGUCCUAGAACGACCCAAGGCAAUUCAAGAACAACUAUGUGGAUUCCUUUUGGAGGAGGUUGUAAAUCCAAAAGGUGGGUCAACUUCAUCCAAUCAGGAACUCGGAUAACGAUGCGUAGUGCAUAUUUGGAAAACUUCUAAUAUUUGAAGCGUAUAUAAAUGGAAUUCCUAUAUAAAUUGUAUAAAUAUAAUAUAUGUAAACUUUACUAUAUGCUAGAUCAAAAUAUAUAUAUAUAUAUAUAUAUAUAUAUUAGCGUAAUAUUACUACUAUAUGCAAACGGAUAUUCUACACUAAUACGAAUACUAACCAACUCACAAAUUAAAAUGAAGGAAAAUAGAAAAAAGAAUAACAUUUAGUACCGGUUGGUAAAACUAACCGAUACUAAACUGUUGUCCGCAAUAGCAUGAUGUGUCUCGCAGUUUAGUAUCGGUUGGUACUACGACUGGUACUUAAUGACCCAUUUAGUACCGUGUAUUUUGGCCAGUACUAAAUGGCGUGGUAUUUAGUAACAAACAACCGGUACUGGUCAGACACCGGGUUAGUGACCUGUACCGAUUCUCCGGCUGUGUAGUCUCACCGGACUACCGGAGAGCAGAUGAUUUCCACUGCCAAAGCGGUACGUUACGUCGGAACCAAAUCAUAGGCAAACACGAAUGCAAAUGAAAAAUCACCAAUCUUGCAUCCGGGAUUGUUAUCCUCGGCGUUGCUUUGAAAAAUCAUCACCAACAGGUUGGGAUGGUGUGUGUAGUAGAUAUGGGUUCCUUCAUUGGACGGGCCAUGUGGGCUGUGCGAUUUGGAAGAAAGUUCUGCAUGGGAAGAAGAAAGAGAUAUUAAUAUUACUUUUUUUUAUCCAGCAUCGGACUGGGCUUUUGUGCAGCGCGUCUGGCUGGCUGGGUGUGUGAGUCUGUAAUGUGCAGGCCAAGGUGGUGAUGGGCCUGUUACGUUACGGGCCGGAAGGGAAAAUGAUGAUACAGAGCUGCACGGCGCAUGCUUCCUGGACCGACGUGCAUGCAUACAUACAUCUACAUGCAUACGGAAGUUUUUUCCUUACCCAUCUUCAAAAUUCGUGCGCACAAUACGAUCCGUUGGAUGCAUCUCGCGCCCCCCGAUCAAACCCUAGCUAACCCCCGACCGUGCACGCCGCUGCCCCAUAUUCUGUCAUCCUGAACUAACGUACAUUCAUAGGCUGACUUCCUGAAGAUACAAAUUAAUUAAAAUUCGAAAUUCGAAUACACGUUGCUCUCGAGUCGGUCAGCCGCCCGGCUAUACCAUACCACGACGGUCGACGGGAAAGGCGGGCAGGAGCCUCUCUCAGUUCCAUAGGCCCCUACCAGAGGUUCCAGCUACCUGAAGCCGUCGAUUUAGUUCAUCCAGUUGCAUUCCAAUAUCAUCUAGCUAGAGACCUGCUGCGAAUUUCGUACGUUCUCUCUGUUAGUUUGGGGACAAGGCUGUAAAUGUUCCUUGUUCCCUUCAGAUGUUGUCUGGAUCAGAACAAAUAUAUAGGAGCCUGAUGACUCGCGGUUUCUCGAUUCAUCUUGGUUUGCUGCACUAGCUAGCGACCCUGGGUGAAUUUGCUCUGAAUUUUCCAAAUUUCCACAGACUUUUCGCUCUCUAGUAUCCUAGCCGGCUAGGUGCACUAGCUAGCUCUGUGCACAGUUGUGCACUACUAUUCUAUUGGAAGUCGUAUGUGAGCAGGUGAGUGAGUUACCCUUAUCCAUACUUUGAUCGCCUUGUGGUCUUGGUCGUCUCACACAUCCAUGUCUGAGUCUGGCUAGCUACAUGUUGAUCGGGAUAUACUGCUUUUAACUUAUGAUUGCCAGUCGUCAACUCAUACGGUCAUACGGUAACCGUGUAUAAAAUGGUUGUCGGCCACUUCUGUGAUGGAAAGAUUUUUACACGAGCGAAAGAAAGAGACACUGCCGGUUUCACAACACCGGCGACGAAUUCAGACGAGAGCUAGCGGUAAGACGAUAUCCACUAUCGCUACUCGCUAUGAACCGCGGGACAAAGUAAACCCGGCCAGUGUGACUGAAAUGGCUCGUGCAAUAUAAUGGAUCAAAGGGUGUGAUUUUCUGGCCUUCUAGGCGGCAGGCAUGACUUGACGCGGAUGGCUGCAGUCUCUCCAUGCACUGGUACUGCACACAAGUCAUGGAGCUUUCAAGGCUAGCUGUAUAAGCAGCACGUGCUCCUUUUGUUCACACAAGGCUCUGUAUAAUCUGUGAUUGGACUUUGAGGUCAACUCGGGCAAUUCUAGGGGAGGUGAAAAAAACUUCUCGUGAUAAGCAUUGGUCGGGUGAGUGGAGGCGAAACAUUUAUCCGUGACGUUUUCUUGUCACUAAAAAGAAAAGCUUGGAAAGCAGAAGAGCAAUACCACGAUGGUGGCGGCACGAGCUGCUGGACUACUCGGGAGCACUGACUUGACUUGAAGCCAUGAAGUCAAUAAUGCAAGCUACUGGAAUUUGUUAGUCGGAUGAGGGAGAUCAUAAUUGAAGUUAAGAUUUUCCUCACAAUGUUUCAUUUAUUGUCUGUAUGUAUUUACCUAUUGAUGAGGGAGAUUAUUGAAGGUACAAAUCCUUCUCUCGCUUGGAAUAUACUACUAACAAUUGAUGUAUUUACCUAGGCUAACUUUUUAUCUCUUUGCAAAUUAUAAGUUAGUUUAUUAACUAUGCAUGUGUUACGCAGCUGUCCACUGAAUCAUUGGGACCUUUUACACGCUUGCCAUACUCAUUCCUGUCCAAGUAUGCAAAUGCAAAUAAUCACAUAUGUUCAUCAAAGCCUCAUGAUGUAUUAUCUUCUGAAAAUAGCUAGGUUGACUCCUUAAAAAAGAAGUCCCUACUGAUCUAGCUAGCUAUAUUUCUUUGUAUUAUAUUGUUAACAAACUUUUAUUUACAGUCGACCAAAACAUAGUUUAGAUUCGUAAGGGAUAUAUGUUAAUGUAAAAUUUGAACAAAAUUUUGUGCAACGAGGGGCAAAAAAGAUAAAAUCAGCAUACCAAUUGGUGGAGCACCUGAUCAGUACCUGCUGGAAGUGUUCGGGUCACUGUCAUGAGGGAGCUAGGCCAAAGCGUUUCGUACUGACUACUCAGGCAGCGCCGUGGCGUAGUGCAUAAUGCUGCCAGGGCUUCUAGAAUGGUGGGAGGUGGAUAAGGGAAUUAAGGAUGCAUGGGGUUUCCACUCGCUUGGUUGCUUGCUUUUGACCGACAGGCAUGCCGUUUCCGGAAGCAUGUUGUUUAUGCAAUUCAUUGGAUAGAUUACUUGAGGAUCUAUGUUCAUGCAUAAAAUCUAGUGUUGAACAAAUUAUGUGCAAAAUCUAGUGUUGAACAAAAUCACGCGGUUUCUAGAAUUAUUUUGAAUUACUAGAUGAAUUGAAGUAGGAGCUUUUGUUUUCUCGAAUUGAAAAGGACUCCAUGUCCUUCUUGUCUCUGGCACAUCAUGCACCAAGAUACAAAGAUCCAGUCAAGUGCUAUAACGAACCAAGGAAUUAAUGAGCUUGAAAUUUGAAAAGCAGGAUCAGCUUGUUCCUUUUCAACCAGCCACGGAUGGAUAGAGCACUUUCUAGUGCUUGGACUCGGGAUAGGUCACUUUAGUUUUUAGUGACCAAAGCACCAUGGACGUGCAUGCGGCACUGUCCUUUAAUUUCUCCCUCUCAACUUGCUCCGCUUGAAUCAUCUAAGCCUAAGCCGCGACGUGUGCUUGAUUAUCUUUUAACCAGGCGAUGUAUUGUUCAAUAAUUCAUCAGGUCUAGCUAUAUCUUAGAGUUAAUCUUGUAGCAGAGCACAAGGCGCCGUUCAUUUAGUUCCAAUUUCAUUCCAUCUAAACCUGCGAAAUUCUAUUCCUUAUUUUUCCUCUGCGUUAGGUUAGUUAUGGCCAAGCCUAUAAAUAUGUAUUUCUUCUCCAGCUUGAACACUAGCUUGUACACUCGUAGCUCGUUUCCGUAGCAUUACCAGAUGUCUAGAUCAGAAGAGAAAGGCUAGCUAGGGACUGACUUUUUGCUAUGUUUCCGUUCUAGUAUCCUAGGUGCAAGAUUUUCACAAGGGAGAGCCGCGUCAAAGCAAUGUUUCAUCCUUUUGUUUCACUUUGCACAAAAAAAGUAUAGCAAACCCUAAAUUUUGCAUUGACACAACCGACUCUUUACAUCAUCUACGAAUCCAUAUUAUUAUUUUUUUGGUUGAAUCUUUCGUGUACUUUUCGGUGUUCUUUUUUUAAGGAAAAAAAAGUUCCUUUUGCAGCACGGGAGCACCUGACCGAUGUGCUUGCAGCUGCUCAAGUGUGUUGGCGUCACUCUCACGAGGUGUCUCGUCCCAACCACUCACUCAGGCAGCACCCUGCUGGAGUGGUGGAAGGUGUGAACAAGGACUUAACGAUGGGAUUUCCGGCUUGUGCGCUUCGGUAAUGGUGCGGGUCGCUCACUCCUUAUGGUCCCUCCCCAGCCGCAUCCCCGUCGCCGACCCGGAGACCGGCGGUGAGCUGGCCGACGGCGAUUCGUCGGCCGCCUCCGGCUCCACCACGACCUGCCCCAGUCCUCCACGCGCCGACCAGGAGCAGGACUCCGCCACCGGUGCUUUGGCGCUCCUCGGCAGCGCCGAUGGCGCCACCGAAAUCUUCGUCGUCACCAGGCCCGCUCGUCCGGCCGUCAUCCCAGGCCCAGAGGCGCUCCUCCGUCUCGCUUCUCCUUCCACGUCAUCGAUCGUCUCAUGGUCAUGGAUAUAGAACCUGCUGCUGCAUUACCU